GAGAAAACUCUAGAAAGGAAAAGAGUACAGCCAGCUCCUUAAAUUAUUUAUAGGUUCAUAGUUCAGUCCACAGUCCACAGUCCAUAUGAGCAUAUUACAAAUAAGAGAACAUAAAUAGGUGGGAAAAGAAAGAGAGAAUAAGUUUAAGGUUGUUUGCUUUUAGAACUCUUUAGUGCUGCUUCCUUUCUCGUAUCUCCUCCUCCUUCAUGUUCCUUUCUUUUGCUCCCUGGUGAUACUCGUUGCUCAUCAUCUAGGUACAUAUCUUCAAAGGUUGCUUCAGGUCUUUGGUUUCCUUCUCCACAGUAUGUUGCUUGUGCUGGUCAGCCAACUUCCAAUCCUUGAUACAUGAGAGCACUUCCACCAUGUCUGUCGUCAACCGUCGUCGCCGCUCCUCGAGCACCCUGCUAGCUAGACUGAAAGUAGAUUCUGAAGAUAUUGUAGAAACAGGGACAACCAUAACAUCUUUAGCUAGUAUAGAAAGAAUAGGGUAAGUUUGAUUGUGGCGUUGCCACCACAUAAGAAUGUUGAAAUCAGGCCCAAAUUUAGUUCCAGUGUCACUAUCAAGGUAAGAAGCUAACUCAGAUAAACCAGUAGAUGUACCAGCUGUACCAGUAUUGCUGUAAUUUUCAUCAUCACCAUAUAUAUCAUCCCAUGCCUCUAUGGCCUUACUAGAACCACUACCUGAUUGUGGUUGAGGAGUCAAGCAAACUCCUCCAAAUUUGGCCUCAUAAAUUUGAUACAUCUUAGCUAACUUGCAUCUAACACAUGAAGGAUAUCUACUAUAGUCAGUCCCAUUAAGAGAAGAUAAUCUUUAAAGAACUUUAUGAAAGCCCCUCAUCUUUGCUCGAGGAUCAAGAAUGAAAGCAAAUGCAUAAAGAAUGGGUAUUUCCCUCCAAUAUUUCAGAAAUUUUGUUUUCAUAGGUACAACAUCAUUUCUUAAAAGUUCAUGAUUCUCAUAUGCAUUUAUAUGUCUAGCAAUUUUCAAAAUAUGAUGCAACAUUAAAGAUGAUGUAGGGUAAUAUAUCCCAGAAAGUGCAACAGUUGAGUCAUAG
This 1052-nucleotide long non-coding RNA is filed under the name Zea mays. RNAcentral's name for it is "drought responsive lncRNA". Lineage: Eukaryota; Viridiplantae; Streptophyta; Magnoliopsida; Poales; Poaceae. The record is from RNAcentral.